Molecule: ribosomal RNA, 939 nt
Filed under: uncultured bacterium
Lineage: Bacteria
Description: bacterial SSU rRNA
Rfam family: Bacterial small subunit ribosomal RNA
Source: RNAcentral
UGAUCCUGGCUCAGGGUGAACGCUGGCGGCGUGCCUAACACAUGCAAGUCGAGCGGAGAGUGGCAGAAUAUCGCGCUCUUAGCGGCAGACGGGUGAGUAACACGUAAACAACAUGCCCUCAAGAGGGAGAUAACCUGGCGAAAGUCGGGCUAAUAUCCCGUAUUAUCCGGAGAAGGCCUCUUUUUCGGAUGAAAGGCCCGCAAGGGUUGCUUGAGGAGUGGUUUGCGGCCUAUCAGCUAGUUGGCGGUGUAACGGACCACCAAGGCUAUGACGGGUAGCCGAUCUGAAAGGAUGACCGGCCACAAGGGCACUGAGACACGGGCCCUACUCCUACGGGAGGCAGCAGUGGGGAAUUUUGGACAAUGGGCGAAAGCCUGAUCCAGCGACGCCGCGUGGAGGACGAAGGUCUUCGGAUUGUAAACUCCUUUUGCAGGGGGACGAUUAUGACGGUACUCUGCGAAUAAGCAACGGCUAACUACGUGCCAGCAGCCGCGGUAAUACGUAGGUUGCAAGCGUUACUCGGAAUUACUAGGCGUAAAGCGUGUGUAUGCGGUGUCUUAAGUUUGUCGUGAAAUUCCCCGGCUUAACCGUGAAAAAGUCGACAGAUACUGCCAGGGAUGCCUAAAACAGAGGCAGACGGAACUGCUGGUGUAGGGGUGAAAUCCGUAGAUAUCAGCAGGAACGCCGGUGGAGAAGUCGGUCUGCUGGGCCGUAACCGACGCUGAGGCACGAAAGCUAGGGGAGCGAACCGGAUUAGAUACCCGGGUAGUCCUAGCCGUAAACGAUGCUCACUAGGUGUGGGGGCGGAAGCCUCCGUGCUGAAGCUAACGCGAUAAGUGAGCCGCCUGGGGAGUACUCCCGCAAGGGUGAAACUCAAAGGAAUUGACGGGGGCCCGCACAAGCGGUGGAGCGUGUGGUUUAAUUUGAAGCUAAGCCAAG